Molecule: ribosomal RNA, 255 nt
Filed under: uncultured bacterium
Lineage: Bacteria
Description: partial 16S ribosomal RNA
Rfam family: Bacterial small subunit ribosomal RNA
Source: RNAcentral
UACGUAGGCAGCAAGCGUUGUUCGGAAUUACUGGGCGUAAAGAGUGUGUAGGCGGUGCUCUAAGUUCGGUGUGAAAUCUCCCGGCUUAACUGGGAGGGUGCGCCGGAAACUGGAGUGCUUGAGCGCGGGAGAGGGAAAGCGGAAGUUCCUGGUGUAGCGGUGAAAUGCGUAGAUAUCAGGAGGAACACCUGUGGUGUAGACGGCUUUCUGGACCGUAGCUGACGCUGAGACACGAAAGCGUGGGUAGCAAACAGG